Molecule: transfer RNA, 71 nt
Filed under: Clytia hemisphaerica
Lineage: Eukaryota; Metazoa; Cnidaria; Hydrozoa; Leptothecata; Clytiidae
Description: tRNA-Gly for anticodon GCC
Rfam family: tRNA
About the family: Transfer RNA (tRNA) molecules are approximately 80 nucleotides in length. Their secondary structure includes four short double-helical elements and three loops (D, anti-codon, and T loops).
Source: Rfam by way of RNAcentral
GCAUUGGUGGUUCAGUGGUAGAAUUCUCGCCUGCCACGCGGGAGACCGGGUUUCGAUUCCCCGCCAAUGCA